CCUGCGAGGAGCAGAAACUGUUUUUUGAGUCCAUAUACCCACCGUGUAGCGCAUGUAUAGUGGGGGCUCACCCCGGGUGCACAGGGUAUGAACCCUUAAGUGCUGGCCAGCACCCUGAUAGAGAGUAUCAGUCACCUCUUCCAUUAUUAAAUUCACCUCAAGGGGAAUAUAUAUCGUUAAGUAGGCGGCUCGGAACUCCUGUUCGGCGGUUGUAACCGCAUGCCUCUGUUCGGC
This is a non-coding RNA of Pelobates cultripes (western spadefoot toad), 234 nucleotides long. The record is from the annotation of a GenBank genome assembly. Lineage: Eukaryota; Metazoa; Chordata; Amphibia; Anura; Pelobatidae.